This is a non-coding RNA of Acanthosepion pharaonis, 98 nucleotides long. Lineage: Eukaryota; Metazoa; Mollusca; Cephalopoda; Sepiida; Sepiidae. The record is from the annotation of a GenBank genome assembly.
GUUGAAACGCCGAUUCCCGUACGAUCAUCGAAGUUAAGCAACGUCGAGCUUGGUCAGUAUCUAGAUGGGUGACCGCCUGGGAACACCAGGUGCUGUAA